CUGCUUGGCUUAUUGAAGGCAGAGGCCACUUGUCUGGCAGGGUAGCAGCUCCAGAGGGGCCACAGCUGCCGCCUGUCAGGGCUCAGGGGCUGCAGCUGCUGGGCAGUUUACAAAGGGAAGGGGGCCAGGGCUUGGUGCUGCUGAGGGUUGUGCCCUGCCGGUGAUGGAGGCUAGUGGUACUGGGGCUUGUUCUCCACGAGUGCUCAGGCCUCCCACAUCCCCGCAUCUGGGCAUAGAUGUGCAUUGCUGCUUGCUGCUCCUGAUGCCUGUGCCAGGGGAGGUUUGCUCUUGCUCUCAGCCCGGGCAGAAAAUGAGGGUACUGAAGCAGUGCUGAAUCUCUUCAGAUGUCCCCUGGAAAGGGCCUGAGCUUUCACACCUCAUGUCAGUACAGGAGGAGAACAGCUGUGACACCCUGCGGAGUCCCCCGAGAGCUGCACAGGGAAAUUCUCCUCUGCUUUUGACGGUGCCUCUGUUUACACACCAGCCUGCCUGGCCCCCACCCCAUGCUGGGACCUGCUGCCAUGCUGCUUGUCACCAUGUCCCAGGUACUUUGCCAGGCUGCUGACCAGCAGGCGCAGCUUCUGGAGGAGCUGUCUGUGUGCCCAGGCCCCGCUGCCUCCUGCCCCGUGCCUGCCGCAGCUGCUGGCCCCAGCAGAACCCUGCCCUUGCUUGUCCGGGCAGCAGCACACUGGUGGGGAUUCCUCACCAACAGGAGAUUCGGGUGCUGCUGGAUCUGUUCAGUGUGGGCUCUUGUAGAGCACAGUAUUUUGAUUGGAAUGGCACGUGAUAUGGAGCCAAACAACUCACGGAAGUCUGUUACAUCAACAUAAUUGCCUUAAUCAGCCAAACUUGUAAUCUCUGUGCAGAAGGAGGGACCCUUCCACACACCUCAGACCCUUCGGCAGGAAAUCUUUGCUCUGCAGAGGCUGCUGCGUGCUGCCGCUGCAAUAAACCAGAGACAUGGCUCCAGCACAAACAGCGGAACAGAAGCAGGUUUUCCCUUC
Molecule: long non-coding RNA, 1004 nt
Organism: Oxyura jamaicensis (ruddy duck)
Lineage: Eukaryota; Metazoa; Chordata; Aves; Anseriformes; Anatidae
Exons: 4
Source: RefSeq, a predicted model, not a curated record